Synchiropus splendidus (mandarinfish) is the source of this 2579-nucleotide long non-coding RNA. RefSeq lists it as uncharacterized. Lineage: Eukaryota; Metazoa; Chordata; Actinopteri; Syngnathiformes; Callionymidae. The transcript has 3 exons. The record is from RefSeq and is a predicted model, not a curated record.
CUUUAGAGUUCCCAGCAACCAUCCCCUGAGUCCCGGUUCUCAUUCUCACCAGUGCUCCCAGCAGAUAUCGGUCUGACGGCUCUCAUUAAGAAGAUCUUUGAUCAGAAGCCCUGCUGGGAACUCUGGUUUGGUCCCACACCGAUUCAACCCAGCUCCUCUGUUUGUCCAACUUCCAGGCAGAAGGUCUGAUAUCUCUUCUUUGGUUUGCUGCAGACAAAGAGGGAGGACUUCCUCGGUCUUGACUCCAAACCUUCUCUUGCUGCUCACCCGAGCCUGAAACUUCCAGAGGGGAUUGCUAUUAAGAAGAUUCUUCUCCACACAGGCGUCUGAGUCUUUAAAAAGUCCCUUCAAAGCUUCUCCUCCUGAGGUCGAAGGGAAGUCAGCUCAAGAGUUGAGGAUGGAGCAGUAGGACCUCUGCACUUCAAGCCAUGUGUCCAUCCGUGCUACGAGGGAGUGUGCUGGGCAGCUUUGGAGGAAGUAUCCAGAGCAGGCAGAGGUGGGAUCUCCUGCCGACCCCAGCUUGACGUUUUGACGGACACGCUGGCAAGGUGAUGACGGAAAUGAAGGGAGAAGUGGAUGGAGAAAGAGUGAUGGAGACGACCAGAACUGUCAGGGUUGUUGAAAGCCGGUGGCUUUAGAAUUCUUGAGGUGAAGGUCACCCCAAUGACAAGAUGGAUUGUUCAAUCUUUAUUUAUAUAAUGACAAAACUCACAGUACAACUGGGCAACACUACGCGGAGUGAAAGCAGCAACAGAUUUUCCAGUUUUAAAUAUCCCGACAGAGCAGUGGAGAUUUAUGUAGCAUGACAAAGAUCCAGGCGCUCUCAAGCCAGUGUGCGGCAAAAGUACUGCGUCUCAAUAGAGACGGUGUCAAAUGGCCUCUGCAGUGUGUGCAACCCCUCUCUCUCUCUCUCACUCACUCUCUCUUCCUCCCUCCCUGUUGUGUAAAGAGCAGUACCUUUGCUUUUGAUGAAUACUCUGCUAAAUGUUCACAAAUAACCUUCGCUCGCCGCGUGUUACCUGACUAUCCAGAUGUUCAACACCCAAAUACAACCAGGCUCUGUGACUUUAAGUGCGAUACAGUUCAAGCAGCCACCUAAUGUGUUUCAUGAAUAUCGAAUGCCCUUAUACGUGAAACAACUUUCCCUAGGGAACCAUAACUCUCAGUGGCCAUUUCAUGAGCUCACUGGGAAAUUUGUUACAGUUUAUAGACUUAAUUUUCUCCUCCCUGUGAGACAGGCGAUGCGUCAUCGGUCCCUGAUGGGCCAGAAGAUAAUAGCCAUGAGUUUCGCUGAUCCUCAUAAGAAACGAUCCAUAGAAAACAUGUCACCGUCAGAUGCUUAUUCCAGGCUUCUGAUGACAAAAUGUUCAACCAUCUAAGAAGAAAACAGCUGAAAACCCAGAAGAAUCACAAUUUUUCAUCCCCUUUAAUAUGGUCUAUGGUGCGUUAGCAGCACUGGCAAGAAUCAGAACAAUUCAAAUACAGUGAUUUUCACUCCCAAUGUUAUCAGCAUCUAUUAAAUUCAGUUCAAUUCUAUGCCUUUCUCAGCUGAAACCAGUCUUAGUCAAAUUCAAAUGAGCUCAGCAGGUGGCAGUAGUGUUCCCGGAACUCUUCACACGCAAUCCAGAAGAGAGUGGUCAAGACAGAGAAGGUACAAAAUGGCAGUCAUGAUCGGAUUUUUCUCAACUUUGUAAAGAGUAAAAUAGUACUUCAAAUGAAGGAUUUGAUGGCUAUCACUCACUUUUGUAUGAGAACUAUAAUAUAUGUCAAGCAGGUUUAUUGCGAAGCUUAUGUUUUACUUCCUGGUCUGACAACGAAUGCCUCGUGAUUGGCUGACGCGUACAGGUUGUGUACACUUGGCUUUACUGAAGCUACAUUUAUUCGUUUAUAGUGAAAAAUGUGCAUCAAUUGAUGAGAUUUUCACCGUUACGGAAUCAGUCCAGGCGACUUCCUGUCCUGAAGAUGGCGCGGUAAAUGUUAGCCAGUCAAGAUGUGUUCACUGGCGUAAGACAUGGGCUUGCUAAACAUAAAAUAUAAUUGCUACAGGUGGUAAAAGUGUGCCUUGAAUUUUGAAGUUCCACUAACACAUUAAAAAGUUUCAAAAAGUCUGAUCACUAUGUCCAGACAGGACGUCAUCGGCUGGUACAUUGUACAAGGAGACACACUUUGGAACAUACGCCAUCAGCGGCAUUCUAUCAAAUUCCACACACCCCUCCUCUCCGAAUGUAAAAACAUAAAGCCGAAUGCAGAAGCUGAUACACAAAAUUCCAAUCACAGAAACUAAAAAAAAAACAGUCAACACAAACUAAAAUACAAUGUAGUUACUUGUAAACCAAAAAAAUAACCAUUAGGAGUGGACUGAUGUCCAUUAUGUUUCGACUGGCAACCUUUGAGAUAAUGUAAAAAUAGUCAGGUUGUUUGCAUUAACCUCCAAGGACACUACACUUAGACACGUUUGAGUGGCUUGUUCCUGCCAAAGGUACUCAGAAGGACCAGAUAUGAAUGCUUUUUAAUGGUGCUCAUUGGCUGUGUUUCAGUCAGAGGACGUCCUACCUGCACCUCAAUGGCAGCCUCUUUUU